This 521-nucleotide ribosomal RNA is filed under the name uncultured Luteolibacter sp. Its description in RNAcentral is "bacterial SSU rRNA". It matches the Rfam family "Bacterial small subunit ribosomal RNA", at positions 1 to 524 of the family's 1533-position model. The record is from RNAcentral. Lineage: Bacteria; Pseudomonadati; Verrucomicrobiota; Verrucomicrobiia; Verrucomicrobiales; Verrucomicrobiaceae.
UAGAGUUUGAUCAUGGCUCAGAACGAACGCUGGCGGCGUGUUUAAGACAUGCUAGUCGAACGGACCGGGGUUGUAGCAAUACCGCUUCGGUCAGUGGCGCACGGGUGCGUAACACGUGAGUGACAUGCCCUGCAGUGGGGAAUAGCCCGCCGAAAGGCGGAUUAAUACCCCAUGGACCCGCGAGGGUAAAGGUGGCGCAAGCUGCCGCUGCAGGAUUGGCUCGCGGCCUAUCAGCUUGUUGGCGAGGUAAUGGCUCACCAAGGCAUCGACGGGUAGCUGGUCUGAGAGGAUGAUCAGGCACACUGGAACUGAGACACGGUCCAGACACCUACGGGUGGCAGCAGUCGAGAAUAAUUCACAAUGGGGGAAACCCUGAUGGUGCAACGCCGCGUGGAGGAUGAAGGUCUUCGGAUUGUAAACUCCUGUCAUCCGGGAGUAAGACCUGGCGGUGAAGAGCCGACAGGGUUGAUAGUACCGGAAGAGGAAGGGACGGCUAACUUCGUGCCAGCAGCCGCGGUAAU